UACAGAGGGUGCAAGCGUUGUUCGGAAUUACUGGGCGUAAAGGGCUCGUAGGUGGCCAACUAAGUCAGACGUGAAAUCCCCAGGCUUAACCUGGGAACUGCGUCUGAUACUGGAUGGCUUGAAUUCGGGAGAGGGAUGCAGAAUUCCAGGUGUAGCGGUGAAAUGCGUAGAUAUCUGGAGGAAUACCGGUGGCGAAGGCGGCAUCCUGGACCGAGAUUGACACUGAGGAGCGAAAGCUAGGGGAGCAAACGGG
This 253-nucleotide ribosomal RNA is filed under the name uncultured bacterium. RNAcentral describes it as "partial 16S ribosomal RNA". It matches the Rfam family "Bacterial small subunit ribosomal RNA", at positions 524 to 776 of the family's 1533-position model. The record is from RNAcentral.